GGAGCCGCAGCGAAAGCGAGUCUGAAUAGGGCGUUGAGUAUUUGGUCGUAGACCCGAAACCAGGUGAUCUACCCUUGGUCAGGUUGAAGUUCAGGUAACACUGAAUGGAGGACCGAACCGACUUACGUUGAAAAGUGAGCGGAUGAACUGAGGGUAGCGGAGAAAUUCCAAUCGAACUUGGAGAUAGCUGGUUCUCUCCGAAAUAGCUUUAGGGCUAGCCUCAAGUGAUGAUUAUUGGAGGUAGAGCACUGUUUGGACGAGGGGCCCCUCUCGGGUUACCGAAUUCAGACAAACUCCGAAUGCCAAUUAAUUUAACUUGGGAGUCAGAACAUGGGUGAUAAGGUCCGUGUUCGAAAGGGAAACAGCCCAGACCACCAGCUAAGGUCCCAAAAUAUAUGUUAAGUGGAAAAGGAUGUGGCGUUGCCCAGACAACUAGGAUGUUGGCUUAGAAGCAGCCAUCAUUUAAAGAGUGCGUAAUAGCUCACUAGUCGAGUGACACUGCGCCGAAAAUGUACCGGGGCUAAACAUAUUACCGAAGCUGUGGAUUGUCCUUUGGACAAUGGUAGGAGAGCGUUCUAAGGGCGUCGAAGCAUGAUCGCAAGGACAUGUGGAGCGCUUAGAAGUGAGAAUGCCGGUGUGAGUAGCGAAAGACGGGUGAGAAUCCCGUCCACCGAUUGACUAAGGUUUCCAGAGGAAGGCUCGUCCGCUCUGGGUUAGUCGGGUCCUAAGCUGAGGCCGACAGGCGUAGGCGAUGGAUAACAGGUUGAUAUUCCUGUACCACCUAGUAUCGUUUUAAUCGAUGGGGGGACGCAGUAGGAUAGGCGAAGCGUGCUGUUGGAGUGCACGUCCAAGCAGUAAGGCUGAGUGUUAGGCAAAUCCGGCACUCAUAAGGCUGAGCUGUGAUGGGGAGAGGAAAUUGUUUCCUCGAGUCGUUGAUUUCACACUGCCGAGAAAAGCCUCUAGAUAGAUAACAGGUGCCCGUACCGCAAACCGACACAGGUAGUCAAGAUGAGAAUUCUAAGGUGAGCGAGCGAACUCUCGUUAAGGAACUCGGCAAAAUGACCCCGUAACUUCGGGAGAAGGGGUGCUCUUUAGGGUUCACGCCCAGAAGAGCCGCAGUGAAUAGGCCCAAGCGACUGUUUAUCAAAAACACAGGUCUCUGCUAAACCGUAAGGUGAUGUAUAGGGGCUGACGCCUGCCCGGUGCUGGAAGGUUAAGAGGAGUGGUUAGCUUCUGCGAAGCUACGAAUCGAAGCCCCAGUAAACGGCGGCCGUAACUAUAACGGUCCUAAGGUAGCGAAAUUCCUUGUCGGGUAAGUUCCGACCUGCACGAAUGGCGUAA
This 1341-nucleotide ribosomal RNA is filed under the name human gut metagenome. RNAcentral's name for it is "bacterial LSU rRNA". It matches the Rfam family "Bacterial large subunit ribosomal RNA", at positions 662 to 2004 of the family's 2925-position model. The record is from RNAcentral.